This 253-nucleotide ribosomal RNA is filed under the name uncultured bacterium. Its description in RNAcentral is "partial 16S ribosomal RNA". It matches the Rfam family "Bacterial small subunit ribosomal RNA", at positions 524 to 776 of the family's 1533-position model. The record is from RNAcentral.
UACAGAGGUCUCAAGCGUUGUUCGGAUUCAUUGGGCGUAAAGGGCGCGUAGGCGGCGCGGUAAGUCGGGUGUGAAAUCUUGGAGCUUAACUCCGAAGCUGCAUUCGAUACUGCCGUGCUUGAGGACUGGAGAGGAGACUGGAAUUUACGGUGUAGCGGUGAAAUGCGUAGAUAUCGUAAGGAAGACCAGUGGCGAAGGCGGGUCUCUGGACAGUUCCUGACGCUGAAGCACGAAGGCCAGGGGAGCAAACGGG